CGGGUGAGUAACGCGUAUCCAACCUGCCCCAUGCUCCAGAAUAGCUCUUGGAAACGGGUGGUAAUGCUGGAUGCUCCAACUUGACGCAUGUCUUGUUGGGAAAGUGUUUAGUGGCAUGGGAUGGGGUCGCGUCCUAUCAGCUUGUAGGCGGGGUAAUGGCCCACCUAGGCUUCGACGGGUAGCCGGCCUGAGAGGGCGGACGGCCACAUUGGGACUGAGAUACAGCCCAGACUCCUACGGGAGGCAGCAGCA
Molecule: ribosomal RNA, 252 nt
Filed under: uncultured Gardnerella sp.
Lineage: Bacteria; Bacillati; Actinomycetota; Actinomycetes; Bifidobacteriales; Bifidobacteriaceae
Description: partial 16S ribosomal RNA
Rfam family: Bacterial small subunit ribosomal RNA
Source: RNAcentral